GACGAACGCUGGCGGCGUGCUUAACACAUGCAAGUCGAACGCUGAAGCUCAGCUUUUGUUGGGUGGAUGAGUGGCGAACGGGUGAGUAACACGUGAGUAACCUGCCUCCUUCUUUGGGAUAACGCCCGGAAACGGGUGCUAAUACUGGAUAUUCACUGGUCUUCGCAUGGGGGUUGGUGGAAAGGGUUUUUCUGGUGGGGGAUGGGCUCGCGGCCUAUCAGCUUGUUGGUGGGGUGAUGGCCUACCAAGGCUUUGACGGGUAGCCGGCCUGAGAGGGUGACCGGUCAUAUUGGGACUGAGAUACGGCCCAGACUCCUACGGGAGGCAGCAGUGGGGAAUAUUGCACAAUGGGCGCAAGCCUGAUGCAGCGACGCCGCGUGAGGGAUGGAGGCCUUCGGGUUGUGAACCUCUUUCGCUCAUGGUCAAGCCGCAACAAUGGUUGCGGUGAGGGUAGUGGGUAAAGAAGCGCCGGCUAACUACGUG
RNAcentral lists this ribosomal RNA (483 nucleotides) under uncultured bacterium. RNAcentral's name for it is "partial 16S ribosomal RNA". It matches the Rfam family "Bacterial small subunit ribosomal RNA", at positions 28 to 507 of the family's 1533-position model. The record is from RNAcentral.